GAUGAACGCUAGCGGCAGGCUUAAUACAUGCAAGUCGAGGGGCAGCACAUGAGUAGCAAUACGAUGGUGGCGACCGGCGCACGGGUGCGUAACGCGUAUGCAAUCUACCUUUAACAGAGGGAUAGCCCCGAGAAAUCGGGAUUAAUACCUCAUAAAAUUUUCACAUGGCAUCAUGAGAGAAUCAAAGCUGAGGCGGUUAAAGAUGAGCAUGCGUAACAUUAGCUAGUUGGAGAGGUAACGGCUCACCAAGGCGACGAUGUCUAGGGGUUCUGAGAGGAUGAUCCCCCACACUGGUACUGAGACACGGACCAGACUCCUACGGGAGGCAGCAGUAAGGAAUAUUGGUCAAUGGGCGGGAGCCUGAACCAGCCAUGCCGCGUGCAGGAAGACGGCCUUAUGGGUUGUAAACUGCUUUUGUCGGGGAAUAAAACUUUCUACGAGUAGAGAGCUGAAGGUACCCGAAGAAUAAGCAUCGGCUAACUCCG
RNAcentral lists this ribosomal RNA (485 nucleotides) under uncultured bacterium. Its description in RNAcentral is "bacterial SSU rRNA". It matches the Rfam family "Bacterial small subunit ribosomal RNA", at positions 28 to 505 of the family's 1533-position model. The record is from RNAcentral.